This 75-nucleotide transfer RNA is filed under the name Staphylococcus aureus. RNAcentral's name for it is "tRNA-OTHER". It matches the Rfam family "tRNA". Rfam says of the family: Transfer RNA (tRNA) molecules are approximately 80 nucleotides in length. Their secondary structure includes four short double-helical elements and three loops (D, anti-codon, and T loops). The record is from RNAcentral. Lineage: Bacteria; Bacillati; Bacillota; Bacilli; Caryophanales; Staphylococcaceae.
GGCCUAUAGCUCAAGCUGGUUAGAGCGACGCCUGAUUAAGCGUGAGGUCGGUGGUUCGAGUCCACUUAGGGCCCA